This 222-nucleotide ribosomal RNA is filed under the name Triticum aestivum (bread wheat). RNAcentral's name for it is "partial small subunit ribosomal RNA". Lineage: Eukaryota; Viridiplantae; Streptophyta; Magnoliopsida; Poales; Poaceae. The record is from RNAcentral.
AUGAUUAGCUUGAGGAGAAGAGAUGAUGGAAACUAUGAGGUCCUCCGAUUCGUCUGUCAGCACACGCAUCAACUUGUCUCUACGAAUAAGAAACAAUUCACUAGAACUAACAGGGAGGUCAGUAGUGAAUUGAGGCGCACAUUCUUGACAUGUCACAAAGCAUUGAUGGGACCUUGCCAAAAAAAUUGGCGUGCACUAAUUGGGACCAAGAGAGGUACCUAG